This 153-nucleotide small nuclear RNA is filed under the name Echinops telfairi (small Madagascar hedgehog). RNAcentral describes it as "U2 spliceosomal RNA (ENSETEG00000024219.1)". It matches the Rfam family "U2 spliceosomal RNA". Rfam says of the family: U2 is a small nuclear RNA (snRNA) component of the spliceosome (involved in pre-mRNA splicing). Complementary binding between U2 snRNA (in an area lying towards the 5' end but 3' to hairpin I) and the branchpoint sequence (BPS) of the intron results the bulging out of an unpaired adenosine, on the BPS, which initiates a nucleophilic attack at the intronic 5' splice site, thus starting the first of two transesterification reactions that mediate splicing. Lineage: Eukaryota; Metazoa; Chordata; Mammalia; Afrosoricida; Tenrecidae. The record is from RNAcentral.
AUCGCUUCUCGGCCUUUUGGCUAAGAUCAAGUGUAGUAUCUCUUCUUAUCAGUUUAAUAUCUGAUACGUCCUCUAUCCGAGGACAAUAUAUGAAAUAGAUUUUUGGAAUUAGGAGAUGGAAUAGGAACUUGCUCCGUCCACUCCACACAAAAA